CCGUGUACUGUUUCAUUGUUUUUCAUCUGAAUCAACCCCGUCCUUUUCAAUUGAAUAUGUUCAAUUCUGAUUGGCCUGUACACUGAAAAUCAUUGAAAAUGCUCGGAAUCAAACCCAUCGCGGAAUAACAGGGUCUUGGAUUUUUCUGGGACAAUCGGUUACUGUAAAUUUUGUGUGAACCCCAUACAUCCCCCAAUUCUCAGAAGGAGAAGACUAUUGAUUGCUUUCUUUCUUUUAUACCUGCUAUUUUGACUGAAUCUAGUUGAUUUGAAUAUUAUUCAAUUCAUUAAUUUCACUGUGUUAAUUCUGAAUUACUGACCGCCGGGAGAGUUUAAUUGUUUAAUUUUUGUUUACCUCAUUUUGAACUUGGUCACCCAUACAGCAUAUGUAUGUCCAUUGAACGUCCAUUGGACGUACAAAAUGGAAAUGACGGACAUCCAUUGUACGUCCAGUUAUGUACAAUGAUAGUUCCAGAUAAUGUCCGAACCUCACUGGAUUUAGCAUCCUAUGGUCGUCCAUACAGGAUAUACAAUGGACGUACAUACAGGAUGUUCAGUGGACGUACAUACAGUUUUCAAGGAGGCAUCGUCGUCCACAGGGAACUGGAAUCUCGUAAAUAUUGAAUCCAUCGUAGUUGUUUGAUCCCCCUUGGCAGCUAAAGAAGAUUUGAUCUCUUCCCGAUCCGUCUUCUUGUCGGCCAUGAUAUUUGCCAAAAACACAAACUGUUUAAUUAUAUUUUUUCAGUUCAUCCAUCCUCUAUUUAUAAAAAAUUUCACAAUUGAAAUUCAUUGAAAACUUCAAACUUCGAAUACUCUUACCCAUUUGUAUAUUGUUUUUAUGUAUUGGGCAACAGCAACAAGUGCCCAGUGGGGAAUCUGCUAUACGAGCAGUUUCUGAAGCAGCAUUAGCAUUUCCUUCGAAAUAAAAGAUAAUUAUUAUUGUCUCCAAAAAUUUUUCAUUUGCAAUAAUUUAUUCCACAUGCAGAAAAUAUUUAUAUAGGCAAGUACUGUAAUUUUUUUUAAUCUAUCGAGUAUGCAGCAUAUUUCAUAAAGCAAUUCAUGUUAUGUUACUUCCAACCCAGUGUCAUUUGAAUUGAAAUGAGAGACGCUCGAGUCAAUCAAAAUGUAACGCCUUUUUUCUUGGGGUACUCGAGCGCCAGCUAUUCUUUGAAGGAAAAAUAGCAAACCUACCCUGGUAGCUACGAGCCGAAGACAAAGUUCCUUGGUGUCUGGGGUAUAAGCGACAACCAGUGAAAGCCAAAAUCAGCGUAUACAAAUUUUAUUUGUCGACUCGUAAAAGGAAACACAAAAGGCACUUCACAAAAUCCGUACCACGGAAUCAGAUAUAAGCAACAAUUAAGUGGUAAGAUUACUGCGUGAAACGGACGGAAUUAGACAGGUCAACGUGGUACGGUGUUUCCGGACAUGUUCGCCAGCCAUAACCUGUCUUAGGUUCUGGCUGGCACUUACACGGACAAGUAUCAGACCUCAGCCAGGUUAGGGGAUGAAGUGAGACGGCAUAGACUUACGACGGUUCACCUUUAGGUGCGUUCUGCACCCCCUGAGUAUCCACGCCAGCGGGGUAUUGUACUAGCAGCAGAGGUGAAGAUUGGAAAGUAAGGAAGAGUCGCCACCCCAAAGUGUGUUCGGUAGCCCCUGAGUAGCCACGCCAGCGGGGUAUCCUAUUAAAAGUAGGGCUGGAGCUCAAACUGUGGUUUGGGACGGUUGCAGUUGGACGCUGAGGUUUCAAGACAAUAAUAACUGUGAGUGUUGUCUUACCUACGGUUUCUGGACGGGCACUUGCACUCGGAAAGGAAAAUAAUCAAAUGAAAGUAAAGAAAAAUUCUAUCCGGAAUAGCCAAAAAUAAAGGAAACUUAACGGCAGAACAAUAAGUCGCGAAGGCAUACGGCCGUUAAUCAUAAGUGAGUGACCUGCAAGGGAACACCUGAUUUUAUACCCACAAGGGGGAGUGCGGACAUCAGAUGUGCCCCGGCUGUCGAAAAUCGGUAAAAUUUGCGUCGAUGAAGACGUCUUAAUUUCGACUUAUCUAGACUGGCGAAAAAAACCCGGUUAUCUUCCAGUUCAGGAUGUUUUGUACGGUGCGACAUCGUAUUCGUAUAGAACUGAAAAACGGAAUGAAAACGAUGCGGAAAGUUUAAAAUUCCGAACGAUGUCGGACUCCUAAAUUGGAAACUGAAAAUAUUCCUCUCAAAAUUAAUUCGAAAUAAAAUCACUCAAAAUGAAACAAAAAGAUUAUUCUUAAAUGAGGGAGCAUUUUGCUAGAAAAAUAUAUCCUCAUUACAGAAGGUACAUCAGAAAUAUCAUCUUGACAAAACAGAGAUCAUUUAAAUCAAAGCAAGUGAGUUUGCAACCUUAUGAUUAAAAAAAGAACCACACCCUCGUUGAUGAAUCCAUUCAUCAUUGAAUUAAUAUUAUAGUAUUUAUAGUCGACCAAAUCAUAAAACUAACACUUACUGUUGAUGGUUAUGUCCCUGCAGUUUCCGUGACCCACCUGGUCGGAGGUUCAGGGAAGGCCUUUCCUUUGCGAAUGGAAAUAAGCUCAUCAUCAUCUGGUUGAGGUCGCUGGUAUAUUCUGCGACAUUCAACUUCUUUUUCUGGUUUCUAAAUAAUUAUCCGAAAUCAAACUUAUAAUAGGUUUGUUCGUAGAGUAGUCCCAAACUGUCCCGAACUGUACAGAGCAUGCGCAAUUCAAUAUUUGCGUUCGUAGUGUCGUAAUUUCUGAUUCAGAACUGACAGUCGGCUGUUCGCAGAGGCCAUUCUGUAUCAAAUCACAACCGUUUGAAAAAUUCACGACUCAAGCUGUGAACUAAAAAUCCUGAACUGUCGAGCAUGUGCAGAGGAUCAGAAUCAGAACAGUUUCGAAAGUUAACAGGUGAAGUCAUUUGAUUUUGGAUAUAUUCGGACUUAAUUGCUUUGUUGAAUAUAAGGUAUGUAGAUUUUCUUCAAGAGAUAAGUUUUUUAGAUUAAAGUGAAUUUUAUUUUCAAGAAUGUCUAGCUCAAGUGACCACGGCAGUGAUUUUAACGAGAAUGUGUACUCAUCAAGUAGUGAUGAAGAGAUUUUUGUCUUACUAACUCAAGGGGAACCCAGUCGCAGAAAUGAAAAUUAUAUUCAGACAGUGCGAUCUUACAGUGAUAUAGAGUUUCUGAAACAUUUCAGAGUAUCACGUGGAGUGUUGAAUGAUAUUGUGGAAAGGUUUGAACAUUCUGAGUACUAUUCGUACCAGGUGGGAGAGUUUGGCAAGAUAACGGCUUUUGAGUAUGUCGUGGUAUUUUUGUGGUUUUCUGGCCAUGAGAGUGCCUCCUUCAGGGAUGUGGCGGAUAGGUUUGACAUUUCUUUAAGUACCCUGAGGAAAAUCAUAAAUAAAAUGAUUUUUUUUUUAUCAAACCUUUCGGCUGAAGUUAUAAAGUGGCCAAACAGUCAAGAAAAAAAUUAAAUUGAGGCCUAUUAUCGCAGCAGAGGUUUCCCAGGGGUGAUUGGUGCCAUCGAUGGUUCUCAUAUUAGGAUUGAUAAGCCAUCCGUAGAUCCAGAUUCAUACCUGAAUAGGAGACAUUUCUAUUCUGUACAGAUGCAAAUUGUUUGUGAUCAUGAAAGGAGGGUCAGAGAUGUUUUUAUAGGCUUUCCUGGUUCUGUGCACGAUAGUAGAGUUUAUCGGGCUUCACCAUUGAACGAUUCAUUGGUUCAGAAGUGUGGAGAAUUUUUUAUAUUGGCUGAUGGAUAUCCAUGUCUUAGGAAUAUGCUGACACCAUAUAAAGAUAGAGGCAAUCUACAACCAUACCAGAUUAACUACAACAUAAAAUUGUGUAGAAACCGUUAUGUUAUAGAACAUUGCUUUGGUAUGAUGAAGCAGAAGUUUCGGCAACUCUAUCACCUGAAACUCAGGAAAAUAAAUGAAAUUGUUCAUUUCAUCAGAGCAUGUUGUGUAUUGCACAAUUUAGCACUGGAUGACAAUUUUCCCACUGAUGAAAAUUUUCUUCGGGAAGAUAUUGAAACAAGUAUAUUUGAAGAUGAAGGGACAGGAAAUGACGUGGAGGGCAGAAAUGGCCUGGAAUUUAGGAAUCAGGUGGCUCGAAACCUUCCAAUGUAAAUAUAUUUGUCCAAUAUUUUUUUACUAUUCCCAACUAUUUAUUUAAGAAUAAAUCAAUGAAAUAAAAAAGUGUUUUAUUCUAAUAAACUGUAUAAAAUGAUAAAUACAUAAACUUUAUGAAAACUCAAAAAUAUAUUAUGAUACAUAAAAUCUAAGGCUGAAUCAAGGACUUCGGUCGAUGGCCAUUCAAGAACAGUUAUGAUUAUUAAUACAUGAAAUGAAAUAAAU
Coccinella septempunctata (seven-spotted ladybird) is the source of this 4334-nucleotide long non-coding RNA. RefSeq lists it as uncharacterized. The transcript is spliced from 2 exons. The record is from RefSeq and is a predicted model, not a curated record. NCBI's taxonomy places the organism in Eukaryota, Metazoa, Arthropoda, Insecta, Coleoptera, Coccinellidae.